Molecule: long non-coding RNA, 642 nt
Filed under: Calidris pugnax (ruff)
Lineage: Eukaryota; Metazoa; Chordata; Aves; Charadriiformes; Scolopacidae
Description: lncRNA (ENSCPUG00000016603.1)
Source: RNAcentral
AUGUGGAAGCAAGAGACAUCGAUGUUCCUUCAAACUCAUGGUCAGGCUUACCCCAGCCUGGGAGGGUGCCAGGGAAUGGUUUCCCUUGUGACUACCUGCUCAUGCUGCAGACAGGACAUUGCUCAGCCCCAUUUGGAUGUGCUUUUCAAGGUAGGUUAUUUCUCCUGGAAAUACAUGCUCUUCUCUUUAACCCACUGCCUGGGCUCUGCAGCUGCUGUGGCAGAUGGGCAGCACAUUGGGCUUUCUGGGGGUGCUUCUUUCACACCACUGACCACUUCACAGAAUCACGUGGGGUGGGAAGGGACCUCUGGAGAUCAUCUAGUCCAACCCCCUGCCAGAGCAGGGCCACCCAGAGCAGGUCCCACAGGAACGUGUCCAGGUGGGGUUUGAAAGUCAGUUGAAUGUGACUUGAAGUGAAGUUGCUUGAAGUGACUUCUCCUUUUCUCAGCAGCCCCCGUCUCUUCAAGGCCAGGGUUUUCUUUGGCAUGUUUUCCUGCUUUUGCUGGCUCUCAAAUCAAGCUGAGCUGGUGUGGAGACUCUCUCUGAAACUGUACCCUGCAUAUGUGGACUGUUGUGGUCCUGCUAAAGGACUCGGUGGCUUUCUGUCCUGCUGACUGAGUCAUUAGUGGCUGUAAUAAUUAU